Molecule: ribosomal RNA, 553 nt
Filed under: Trichothecium roseum
Lineage: Eukaryota; Fungi; Ascomycota; Sordariomycetes; Hypocreales
Description: eukaryotic LSU rRNA
Rfam family: 5.8S ribosomal RNA (bases 165-318)
Source: RNAcentral
GGGAUCGUAGGCAGGAGGAGCUAUCAGUCGGCGGAGCGAACAUAUUAAUAAGCGGAGGACCUAUUAAUAGGCGCGAGGAGCGCGGCCCGGACCCAAGCAUCCGCCGGAGGCUCCGAACUCUUGUCUUUUAGUGUAUUUCUGAGUGGCAUAAGCAAAUAAAUCAAAACUUUCAGCAACGGAUCUCUUGGUUCUGGCAUCGAUGAAGAACGCAGCAAAAUGCGAUAAGUAAUGUGAAUUGCAGAAUUCAGUGAAUCAUCGAAUCUUUGAACGCACAUUGCGCCCGCCAGUAUUCUGGCGGGCAUGCCUGUCUGAGCGUCAUUUCAACCCUCAGGACCCGUUCGCGGGACCUGGCGUUGGGGAUCAGCCUGCCCCUGGCGGCGGCUGGCCCUGAAAUCCAGUGGCGGUUCCCUCGCGAACUCCUCCGUGCAGUAAUUAAACCUCUCGCGGCAGGAUAGCGGUUGAACCACGCCGUUAAACCCCCCACUUCUCAAGGUUGACCUCAGAUCAGGUAGGAAUACCCGCUGAACUUAAGCAUAUCAAUAAGCGGAGGAAA